This 50-nucleotide ribosomal RNA is filed under the name Bifidobacterium jacchi. RNAcentral's name for it is "partial 23S ribosomal RNA". The record is from RNAcentral. Lineage: Bacteria; Bacillati; Actinomycetota; Actinomycetes; Bifidobacteriales; Bifidobacteriaceae.
GGAGGUGGAAGCCCUGCAAGGGGUGGAGCCGACCGGUACUAAUGGUCGAA